GCGACGUAGCUUUUUUUUAUACUCUUCGCGCGGAGAGAAAUAGCAUAUCAAUAAGCGGAGGAAAAGUAACCAACAGGGAUUGCCCUAGUAACGGCGAGUGAAGCGGCAACAGCUCAAAUUUGAAAUCUGGCUCUUUUAGAGUCCGAGUUGUAAUUUGCAGAGGGCGCUUUGGCUUUGGCAGCGGUCCAAGUUCCUUGGAACAGGACGUCACAGAGGGUGAGAAUCCCGUACGUGGUCGCUAGCUAUUGCCGUGUAAAGCCCCUUCGACGAGUCGAGUUGUUUGGGAAUGCAGCUCUAAAUGGGAGGUAAAUUUCUUCUAAAGCUAAAUAUUGGCCAGAGACCGAUAGCGCACAAGUAGAGUGAUCGAAAGAUGAAAAGCACUUUGGAAAGAGAGUCAAACAGCACGUGAAAUUGUUGAAAGGGAAGCGCUUGCAGCCAGACUUGCUUGCAGUUGCUCAUCCGGGCUUUUGCCCGGUGCACUCUUCUGCAGGCAGGCCAGCAUCAGUUUGGGCGGUGGGAUAAAGGUCUCUGACACGUUCCUCUCUUCGGGGAGGCCAUAUAGGGGAGACGUCAUACCACCAGCCUGGACUGAGGUCCGCGCAUCUGCUAGGAUGCUGGCGUAAUGGCUGUAAGCGGCCCGUCUUGAAACACGGACCAAGGAGUCUAACAUCUAUGCGAGUGUUUGGGUGUCAAGCCCGAACGCGUAAUGAAAGUGAACGGAGGUGGGAACCCGCAAGGGCGCACCAUCGACCGAUCCUGAAGUUUACGGAAGGAUUUGAGUAAGAGCAUGGCUGUUGGGACCCGAAAGAUGGUGAACUAUGCUUGAAUAGGGUGAAGCCAGAGGAAACUCUGGUGGAGGCUCGCAGCGGUUCUGACGUGCAAAUCGAUCGUCAAAUUUGGGCAUAGGGGCGAAAGACUAAUCGAACAUCUGGGCCCCG
This 938-nucleotide ribosomal RNA is filed under the name Curvularia lunata. Its description in RNAcentral is "partial large subunit ribosomal RNA". It matches the Rfam family "Eukaryotic large subunit ribosomal RNA", at positions 1 to 953 of the family's 3401-position model. Lineage: Eukaryota; Fungi; Ascomycota; Dothideomycetes; Pleosporales; Pleosporaceae. The record is from RNAcentral.